AUACGGAGGGUCCGAGCGUUAUCCGGAAUCAUUGGGUUUAAAGGGUCCGUAGGCGGGAAUCUAAGUCAGUGGUGAAAUCUUGCAGCUCAACUGUAAAAUUGCCAUUGAUACUGGAUUUCUUGAAUUAGUGUGAAGUGGUUAGAAUGUGUAGUGUAGCGGUGAAAUGCAUAGAUAUUACACAGAAUACCAAUUGCGAAGGCAGAUCACUAACACUAUAUUGACGCUAAGGGACGAAAGCGUGGGGAGCGAACAGGAUUAGAAACCCCGGGUAGUCC
This 275-nucleotide ribosomal RNA is filed under the name uncultured bacterium. RNAcentral's name for it is "partial 16S ribosomal RNA". It matches the Rfam family "Bacterial small subunit ribosomal RNA", at positions 523 to 796 of the family's 1533-position model. The record is from RNAcentral.